CUAUUUAUGUCGGCGACCGGCGCACGGGUGAGUAACGCGUAUCCAACCUACCCAUAACUAAGGGAUAACCCAGCGAAAGUUGGACUAAUACCUUAUGUAUUCGUUUGAUCUCAUGAGAUUACGAAUAAAGAUUUAUCGGUUAUGGAUGGGGGAUGCGUCUGAUUAGCUUGUUGGCGGGGUAACGGCCCACCAAGGCAACGAUCAGUAGGGGUUCUGAGAGGAAGGUCCCCCACAUUGGAACUGAGACACGGUCCAAACUCCUACGGGAGGCCAGCAGGU
Molecule: ribosomal RNA, 279 nt
Filed under: uncultured Prevotella sp.
Lineage: Bacteria; Pseudomonadati; Bacteroidota; Bacteroidia; Bacteroidales; Prevotellaceae
Description: partial 16S ribosomal RNA
Rfam family: Bacterial small subunit ribosomal RNA
Source: RNAcentral